AUUCAUUUUCCCAGUCGCAAGCUUUUCCGAAGAUAGCUUGGUCACAAGGUCGAUGUCUGUCUGUUUGAAUAACAUAUUGAUCUAAGUUUGUAAUUGAUAUGUUAUUUAUGUUUACUUACCCACAAAUGUUAGGCCUGCAGUAAUGUCACCGCCGAAGGUACGUUCACAGAUGUUACAGACAUCAAUCAACUGGUAGGAACAAGUGGCUGGUUUGGGAAUUUGAAAGUCUGCGUACUGAGAAUCUCAGUGAGAUAUUGUCAAACCAGGAGCUACAAUGGAUAGCGGAGAGAUGGAGGCCGAACACAAGUUUAUAGGCAGGGAAAAACUGUCUGAGGACCUUGUUAGCCAGGUCGUGUCAAAGAAGACACGUGUGAUCUGUUUAGACGGAGAACCGGGCAUUGGUGUGUCAAGAUUUGCCGAGUUCUGCUUGAGAAGGGUUGAGGAACAUCAGCAACACACAUGCUUCUUUAUUGACUGUCAGAAAGUUCCAGGAAAAACAAAAGAAGAAGUUGAGGAAAACUUUAAGACAUGUUUUGAAGAAGAUGUUAUCCAAAAGACUGUAACAAAGUCAUCAACUAUUUUUGACAGCAGUAAUCGGCAGGAAAUGAUAGAUGAUCUGGUGAAGAAGUUUGCAGCAUUUCUUCAUGGAAAUCAAGAAUCUCAUGUGAAUCUCCUGUUGGACAAUAUUGAUCGGAACAGCAAGGGUAUCGUACAGUCGUUUGUGAUCAAUGCACUUAAGUCAUUCAAAAGAAGAAUCACAAAUGUAACUUUUAUUCUAACUUCUCGGAUGAAGCUCUCUUUUUCACAAUUUAAAAUGGAAUCAGUGAAAAUCCAGCCUUUCACCAAAGAUGAAGUGAGGAAAUUCUUUCUUGACAACUUUGACUUUUCAUUCCGAGAAGAUGUAUUCAGGAUUGUUCAUGACUGGUGUGGUGGGAACGUGACUGUCUUGUGUUUAGUAGGUCGGGAACUGAGAGAUCUUGAAGACAUGUCCUUUGACCAGGAGGACUUGUCAGCUGUUAUUGUCCAAGGGUCAUCACAAGAUGCUUUACGCCUCGUCAACAGCGAAAGCUUGGCAGAUGAGGAGAAAUGGAGCCAAAUCUUUGCUCGAUUCUUUGAACAGCUGGCUAGAAGAGCACAAGAUCAUUUGCAGAAAGUUGCAUAUUUUGCCAGUGACUUCACAGCAGAGGAUUUGAACAAAAUGCGUCCAAAUGAGUCUGUAGCUCUGACAAAACACCGUGUUCUUGUUGAGCUUAUGAGGACAAAUGCUAUUCGUCACAAUCGGACUGACAAAACCUUCAAGGUUGAUCAACUGACUAAACAGUGGCUGGCCACCCAGGAAAAAGGAACUGACGAGGACUGCUGGCUUGAUCCGUCUAACCAUGGCCGUGAUGAUGAGGUUCAAGACACAAAAACCGACCCCUUUUCUGAAUCUAUGGAUGACAACACACAGCAGCCUGUUAAAGCAAACGGACAGGUAGAUGGAAAUAUCAAACCUGGCCACAUAACGCUGAAUGAACUUUUGCGGCAAAGGAAUGUGAUUUCUGAACCAAGCCAGCACGAUGGUUCCAAUCAAUCGUCCGGUGAGCUGAAGAACAAUACUCCUGAUAUUGCUGGAACUGGGCCCCUGGAGUCUCCAGCAAGAUCUGAGAGAUGUGACAAUGUAACUCUCAACAUUGUUGCAAGUGACGGCAGGCCUAUGGCAUCUUCAACUCCAUCUUUGUGUCAGCCACAAGGAUGUGUUAAUCUGUGUGGUGAUCCCUCUCCGAAGGAAAAACUACCAGAACGCUUUAAAGACUUAUCAAUAAAACCUUGUAACCUUGACAAUAAUACCAGUGGUUUUGAAGGGAGGAGUGUAGAUUUAGGGGAGUUCAAUGGUUAUGCAGAUCCAAGUCGUAAGCAGCACAUAUUUUCGGAGAGUAGUGUGGACAGUUUUGAAAACAAUGAACUGCAGCCUACAGCCAUGCCCACGCCUUUUAGAAAAUCGGCAUCUAUCCCAGAACAGGAUGAACCUCAUGCCAUGAUCAGCAAAGAUAAAGGAUCUGCCUCUGUGGUUGAUUUUGUUCAAGGGUCACCCUCUCAACAUGUUGAACAGACACUACCAUAUGAACAUACACUACCAUGUGAACAGAAAACUACAUGUGAACAGACAGCACCAAGUGAACAGACACCAGCAUGUGAACAGACAGCCCCAAGUCCCUGUAGACAAACUGAAGCAUCAUGGACAAAUGUACCUUCAGAUAACGACAGAAUAGAAUCUCAGACUCUUUUAAAAUUUGCUUUAAUGGCAGAUCAGCCAAGAGAAGCCUCGGACGUGCAAGGAUGUGACCAUGAACAGUUCAACAUGACCUCAUCGGGACCCUUUGCCAUGGCAAAGAAGACAAAAGAUGAUCAUAGAAAUCUUCUAAAACAAGAUGCUGUAGAUAAAUCAGAAUGGCAUGCGGACACAGAAGAGAAUCAUCAAAACUACUCAGCACAAAAGACAGAAUCAGUGAUGGGAAGAACCAGCGGUGGAGAGGGACACUUGGAAGGGCAUCAAGACCUUGCAUCAGGGAUGAGACACAACAGUUCCUACUUCGACUCUGAUACUCCUGCAACAGUCCGACCUCCACCCGACCGCCAUCUUUUUGGAGCAUUCAAUAGGACUAAUGAAGAAAGAACUAACAUCAGCUCAAGGAGAUCGGACACAGGGGGAAAAGAUGUGACUGACAAAGGUGCACAGAACGUUCAGAAUUCUAGAACUGUUUAUGUUCAGCCAAUACAGUGCACUUCAGUCGGACUCCCACAGGGCUGCACCCCUUCUGACCAACAGAACAUCCAGUAUCCCAGCUUGGACCAAUCAGCAAGGUCAUAUGUAGAACCAAUUCAGUUGUUUCAAACAGCCCCAGGUGAUGUUCUGGAGCAGCAGUUGCCCCAUUACAGACUACCUUGCCCAGGGAGUGCUGUCACACUGAACUCUCAGCAUUACCCCAGGAGUCAUUUCCCACUGAAUACUCAGUCCCACCCCAUGCGAGGUGCGACAUGGCACUCACAGCCUCAACCUAGAGGAGGUGGGCAGACACGUCCUGCAUUAAGACAUAAUGUCCAGCAGCAAUCAUCUGCUCAAAUCUUCAGUUCUUCAAUGGCACAGCUUCCAUUACUUGCCAGUGAGUAUUCCCCUGAUUCAACACAGAGCCAGCCAGUUCCAAGCUUCCCUAGCCACAUUAGUACAGUGACACCAUCCAGCAAUCAUCAGAACCCCCAGCAUAGAUGUACAUCAUCAGGGACUUCCAGCAUACGGUUGCACCCACAGGGACCUCAAGGACCAUGGGGAGUACAGAUCAGACAUGCUGCUUCCCAGCCUUUACAACAGCCAACUCAAAACUCAAUUCCUAGCAUUCAUCUGAUUGCUCAGCAACAGCAAUACUACCAGCAACAACAGCAGUGGCAGCAGCAGCAACAAUACUACCAGCAACAGCAGCAGUGGCAGCAGCAGCAACAAUACUACCAGCAACAGCAGCAAGUGGCAGCGACUUAUCAGCAGAACCUUCCCAGCUUCCGUUUUCAGAGAAAUGAGCCAAUAAGAACACCAAUGAUGUGUGCCAUGCAACCAGAGAGUGCUGGAUUCAUCAGUCAUGUCCAUCAGCAUUAACCCCUGUGUGUGUCCCAGGCAUUAACCCCUGUGGGUGUCCCAGGUUAGAAUGGGUUCCUGACACUAUGGGUGGCCAGUGACCCGAUUCAUUGUGUGAAAUGGUUAUGAAACUAUUAAACAUUUUCUUAACCUUCCAGAGCAAAGUAUGAUGUUUGAUCAACCAAAUAUGUUUUCAUUCUCUUACUUGCUUGUUUUUAUUUACAGGUUUAUGUAUACUGGCUUAUUAGAGAUGGCGCACAGAUAAAUGUCCUUACUUGAAUCAUCAAUUACACAGUGUUUAUAUCUUCAGCAACUAUUUCCCAAACUCAGAUAGAUGUAAUGGAGAUACUUACUUUAGAUGUGGUCUAUUGUGUCAAAUUGCACCAAAAGUCAGAAUCACUUUUCACUUGGCCUUGACCUCUGAGAGUAAGGCUCUCACAGGGUUCCUUUGAACUCCAGCGCUGGUUAGGUUCAGAUGAAGUCGAGCAGUUGACCAAGGUACAUAACUCAUACCUGUGUUUCUCUAACAUGCAUGGCAUCCAUGGAAAAGAAGCUGUACAGUGUCUUGAGGUAGAAAGAAAAAUGACAAACAGUUGAUGUUUUUGCAUGUUCCUGUUAAAAUCCAACAGUCCAGUUUAAUGGAACUAAGGGUACUUGAGUACAUCUUUUCUAUUCAUCAGAUGCCUAUCUGAAGGGUGUUUCCUCUAAAAUGUUUGACCUAUGAAUCUUUCUCCACUAAAUGAUUUGAUGUGUAUAUUUAUUGUGUAUAGUUAUUUGGUAUGGCUGCCAUAAUGGACAAGGUAUUAGUGACUGCUUCCAGCUCAGUUGAUUGCAUCAUUCAGUAUAUUGUAAAUGAAGCUGUAUCGCUUAUUAUUUCUAACAAUGAUAGCUCAUGGACAUAGAUGAAUGUUCUUGACUAGAAGAAUGAUGAAUCAGGCUGUCAAAUGUCUGUGAUUUGAGGGUGAUGUUCUGUGUACGUGUAUGAUACACAGUUCAGUCACUUCUGUUCCAUCCACUUCCUGGCACGUCUUCCAUCUUGCCUGGCUAAGCAAUACUCAGAUCAGUGCUCACUAGUGUUGACUUGUUCUGCUUGAGAUUAUCUAUUUUAUUGGGUAUCCUUUAUUUAUGAUUCAAAGUAUUUAUGUGUAUGACACAUAUAUAUUAUUACAGGCACUAUUUAUGACACUUUGUAACAUCUCUGAAGAAUUAUCUCAUGGAGAUCACUUCAGUAAUAUUUAUCCAAGUUUCUAUGAAUAUGAUAAACAUGUGACCUUGGUAUGAUUAUUUUGUACAGAUGUGACAUUUUACUUGCCAGUUGAGUGUGUUAUUAGCUCAUCAGAAAAUGGCUGCCUUAAAUCUCACUCAGACAUGACCCUGUUAUUAUUCAACAGCUGUACAUCUCAGUCCGAGGGGUUGUCUCCCUUAUGUCAACCAACCAAAUGAAAUGUCAAGAUGACUGAUGUAAAUAAACCUUACAGUUUGUCACAUACACUAUUGACUGUCGGGCUGGAUAUACUUUUGUCUGUUUGCCUUGUCAAGUACAUUUUCUUUUCAAGACAUUUAACGUUACCAGAUAUGUAUGCAUAUUACUUCAGCAUAAUAACUCAUUCGUAACCAACUUGUGUUAUUCUGGGACAAGCCGAAUAUGUUAUGGAAAGGGGCGAGUGGUGAUGAAUGAUAACAACUGCGCUGUUAGGUUUUUAUAUUUACACCAGUAUCUGUUUACCCUAUGCUGUCUGACGGUCUGGAAGAUCACCAUUUUGGAAAUCUUGGACCCAACAUGAGAUUAAGAUUACGGCAGUUUGUUUAUAUGUGUUGUGAUGUUUUGAUGUAUUGGGGAUACAUCAAGUCUUUAUUGAGGAUAAUUAAGACCUAUAGAUUUGUCUAUAGACAUAAUACCUGUGAAGGUCCGGGUUAGAAUUGAUCUUCAGUAAACCAUGCUUGUUGUAAGAGGCUACUAAUGGGGUCGAGUGGUCAGGCUCACUGACUUGGUUGAC
RNAcentral lists this unclassified non-coding RNA (5604 nucleotides) under Haliotis rubra (blacklip abalone). Its description in RNAcentral is "uncharacterized LOC124279837, transcript variant X3". Lineage: Eukaryota; Metazoa; Mollusca; Gastropoda; Lepetellida; Haliotidae. The record is from RNAcentral.